GCUCUAACCUCUGAGCUAAGCGGGC
This 25-nucleotide transfer RNA is filed under the name Hesperolinon micranthum. RNAcentral's name for it is "partial tRNA-Thr". Lineage: Eukaryota; Viridiplantae; Streptophyta; Magnoliopsida; Malpighiales; Linaceae. RNAcentral also lists the same sequence under 3 other names. The record is from RNAcentral.